CAACCCUCAAGCCCGGCUUGGUGUUGGGGCCCCACGGCCGCCGUGGGCCCUGAAAACUAGUGGCGGGCCCGCUGAGGCUCAGAGCGCAGUAGCUUAACCUCGCUCGCGGUGCCGCGGCGGGCGUCAGCCGUAAAACCCCCCACUUUCGCAA
RNAcentral lists this unclassified non-coding RNA (151 nucleotides) under uncultured Sordariales. Its description in RNAcentral is "sequence contains ITS2". The record is from RNAcentral. Lineage: Eukaryota; Fungi; Ascomycota; Sordariomycetes; Sordariales.